Medicago truncatula (barrel medic) is the source of this 1435-nucleotide long non-coding RNA. RefSeq lists it as uncharacterized. The record is from RefSeq and is a predicted model, not a curated record. The transcript has 4 exons. Lineage: Eukaryota; Viridiplantae; Streptophyta; Magnoliopsida; Fabales; Fabaceae.
CCACCUCCGGUACACCACCCGGAAAACUCCAGCCACCUCACAUAAAAUCCAGAUAUCUCUCUCUCUCUCUCUCUCUCUCUCUCUCUCUCACUAUAACAUUUCCUUCAUAGGAUUUAUGUUAACCAUUCUAAAUUAUGUCUUUAAUUGGUUUUUAUUUUGAAUAUGAACAACUCAUUCUAUCACAGUUUAGUUUUCUAUUUUAAACAAAUUUAACACCACCAACAUAGGAUGAAGCAGGAGUAUCAAAAUCAAGUUUUGUUUGAUGGGAAAAAAUCUUACUUUACUGUGGUUGCAGGUUGCAAUCUUAUGUUUUUUUUUUUCUUCCGUAUUUUAUGGAUGGUGGUGUGGCUAGAUUUGAAAUUCAUACGCUGAAGAUGAUGAAGAGUGAUGCUUUUAUGAGAAGAUGAAAUUUGGACAGGCAAAUUCAAUAUUGUGAAGCUUGAAAGAAGAAUGACUAUAUAUGCAGCUUGAAAGAAAAAAGAUACAAUUGGAAAAUAAAAGAAGAAUUAUAUCACAUAUUUUAGGCUUUAUGUGUAGUUCGUGAGAUUGAUACCGAUGUCUGCAAAAUUUUAUAUGUGUGCUUAACUAUUCAGAGCUGGUUCAAGGUAAUUUUCUGCAUAAUUUGGAGCGAGAUCGAGGUGAUUUUCUGCAUAAUUUAGAGCUGGUUUUCGGCAUGUGGACUAAUGUAAUGCAACAGCAGUGUUUUGGUAUUGCAGCUGCUACGUAGUGUGUCAACUAUAGGUAAUCCUUACAAAAAUAAGUUAACAACCUUACAUGGACAUUCAAGAACUGCUUGGGCUGCCAAUUGCAUGCUUAAUUUGUGAGUAUAAGUUUGGAACUAUUUGUUGAUUGUAAUUUUAUUAGUGUAAGUCAACUGAUAAAGGUUAAUCAAUAAUCACUCUCUUUCGUCUACAAUUUUUUUCUUUGUUAUAAUGGUUAUUCUUUGUUGUCGACUUCAUAGAUUUAUCAAAGAUCAAAUGCUAUCGAUUUUGAAUAACUCAGUUGGACCAAGCAUGGCUCAUUCCAUAUCAAUUUAAGAUUGCAAGUAUCUUUUAUUUUUCUAUGCUUAAUUGAAAUAAAUGUGCCCCUGUUGGUAGUUAUUUUAAAUUGGAUAGAAGAAAAUGUUGGAGAAAUGUGAAAUUGAACAGCAAGAAGACAAUUUAUCAAUCUAACAAUUAAAGUCUUUGUAAAAUCACGGAUCUCAUAUUCUGCAGCGUGCUAUAAAUGUAUGUUUGAUUGCAAGUUGCAACUAUAUCAGUUUGUUUUGAGUUGUAAGUAAAAAGUAAAUAUUGAGAUUUUGAGUCUAUUUUAGCAAUUUUGAUCAAUUUGUAAGGUAUUAGCCACUAUUUGAAAGUUCUUUCUUUGCUUGGUUUUAUGAUUUUUCAAGGAGCAUUACUUUGUGUGGCUAAUUUAGAUUGAUAGAGCUAUUCUUUUG